CGUGAAGGCUCUUCCGCUGUGAGCCUGCUUCUUCCUCUCCCACUCCCCCUGCUUGUGUUCCCUCUCUCGCUGGCUGUCUUUCUGUCGAAUAAAUAAAUGAAAUCUUAAAAAAAAAAAAAAACACAAAACAAAUCAAUAGCUGAGAAGGAAUGCUUGCUGUAACUUUCUGUUUGUCGCCUCCUAACAUUGCGUGUGUGUGCUCUCUUUCUCUCUCUCUCUCUCAAAGCCUGGGAUUUCUCCAGUGAUCAUGUGGGUAAAAUCAAGUUGUAUUUCAUUUUUCAGAAUAGACCCAGAAUCUGGUUGUGAUUCAAGAUGGAGGCCCUGGUCCUUGGGAGAGCUGGUGGGAGCUAGGCAGGUGUUACCUUUAGACCUGCAGUGUCAGGCAAAUGAUAGUGGAACUGGGAACAGGUGGGGCCUGUUUACCUUAACCACGUGAAGGCCAGUUAUCAGAACAGGGGCCCAAACAAAGUCAGAACCAGUCAGAGGAAUCCCAGGAUAUAAGGACAAGCUCAGGGUAGCUGGCACGGUGGUUCCCCUGAACUUGGGCUUUGAAUCACCUCAGAGAAUGUAUGUCUUCUUUCCCACACAUUCAACUUCAAAGUGAAGGCUUUCAGAAAGAUAACAGUCUCUCCUCAAAAUCAGAGAAGACCUAGGUAUCACCAGGCCGUUUCUGAAGUAGGCAAGAGGAGAACCACAUGUUCCAAUUCUAAUGGGACUUUGCUAAAGGGUCAGGAAAGCCGAACAGUAAAAGGUGGAUGAGACGAUGUGCUUUAAGAUGCUGGACCCAGCCUGGGCUGCCCAGAUUACUUUCUCUGCGUGUGUGGAGUGGGCCAGGCUGGAGGCCUGCAUGUUUCCAGAUUCUUGACCCAGCUGUAUAUGGAAGCCUGAGAUCUUCCAAACAUGAAGCAGAAGGUCAAAGGAGCUCUCGCCCUACCAGACCUGCUUACAUUUCCCUGAAAACAUUGCUGUAGCAAUCCAAGGCCAACCGAUCCAUCAAGCAAAUAGCCAUGAGCAUCUGCUGUAUUCAAGACAGUUCGGUCAAGGGAGUAAAGACAAAGACAAGCUCCUUGAUCAUGAAGUAUUUAUCCUCAACUAAGAGCAGUAAGUUGAUACAUACAAACGUUACCUAGAUGUGUUAAGUUCUUCUUCUAGGUUUUAUNAUUUUAGUGCUAUUUCUGUCAAGAGUCCAUGUUGCUAUUUAUGUAUGUAUUCUUUCCUUCCUUCCUUCCUUCACUCAGCAAAUAGCCAUGAGCAUCUGCUGUAUUCAAGACAGUUCGGUCAAGGGAGUAAAGACAAAGACAAGCUCCUUGAUCAUGAAGUAUUUAUCCUCAACUAAGAGCAGUAAGUUGAUACAUACAAACGUUACCUAGAUGUGUUAAGUUCUUCUUCUAGGUUUUAUAUUCUUUUUUUUUUUAAGAUUUAUUUAUUUAUUUGAGAGGGAGGGGCUAGGGAGGGAGAGAAUCUCAGGCAGACUCCCUGCUGAGUACAGAGCCUGAUGCAGGUCUCAAUCUCAUGACCCUGAGAUCAUGACCUGAGCCAAAAUUAAGAGUUGGAAGCCUAACCGACUGAGUCCCUCAAGGAUUCAUAUUCUUACCAACAGUGUGAUUCCUCAUCCCAUUUGACCACGUGAAGUCCCAUGGUUUAGCAGGUCCCCCUCCCAAAUGCUUGUUCCUCUGGGAAACUUCCAAGUAAAGCACACAUAUCCCCAAAUCUCACUCCAGCUGUAGUUGUAGACUCGACUCACAACACAAUGCUCUAUUCUCUC
Molecule: long non-coding RNA, 1765 nt
Organism: Ailuropoda melanoleuca (giant panda)
Lineage: Eukaryota; Metazoa; Chordata; Mammalia; Carnivora; Ursidae
Source: Ensembl